This 139-nucleotide small nuclear RNA is filed under the name Fukomys damarensis (Damara mole-rat). RNAcentral describes it as "U2 spliceosomal RNA". It matches the Rfam family "U2 spliceosomal RNA". From Rfam's summary of the family: U2 is a small nuclear RNA (snRNA) component of the spliceosome (involved in pre-mRNA splicing). Complementary binding between U2 snRNA (in an area lying towards the 5' end but 3' to hairpin I) and the branchpoint sequence (BPS) of the intron results the bulging out of an unpaired adenosine, on the BPS, which initiates a nucleophilic attack at the intronic 5' splice site, thus starting the first of two transesterification reactions that mediate splicing. Lineage: Eukaryota; Metazoa; Chordata; Mammalia; Rodentia; Bathyergidae. The record is from Rfam by way of RNAcentral.
AUCGCUUCUCGGCCUUUUGGCUAAGAUCAAGUGUAAAAAUCAAAUCAAGGUAUAAAGUGUAUAGUUCACUUCAUACAUUUGUCACUCCUUUGUGAUCAGAACACCUAAAAUCCUCUUUUCUAGCUAUUUUGAAAUAUGC